GCUCUGACUGCGGGAACCGUUGAAGAGCUGCCCCCGGGGAGUCAGCGAGGCGCCACUGGUCUCUUAGACAUCUUCUCAAGAUUAUGCUAAGAGAAAUGACUGCACCCUUUUCCUGAGCUAUGGCAGUCAGACCUGGCAGUGGUAACUACUCUACAGAACUCCCAAACCUGGCAAGGAUGGUGCAGAUUUUGGCAGAUUAUGGCUUUGUCCCCACCCAGCACUGAUGAUAUUAUAAAAUAUGACACCUUCAAGUAUAAGCAACCAAAGAAAACUAGAUAAAUUGGACCUCAUAAAGUAAAACAAACAAAAACCUUUUGCUUCAAAGGAUACCACUAAGCAAGCGAAAAGACAACACAUAGAAUGUGAGAAAAAGGUUGUAAAUCCUAUAUAUGACAAGGCACCUGUAUCCAGAAUAAAGAACCUCUUAAAACUC
RNAcentral lists this long non-coding RNA (433 nucleotides) under Homo sapiens (human). Its description in RNAcentral is "non-protein coding lnc-BAZ2B-1:11". The record is from RNAcentral. Lineage: Eukaryota; Metazoa; Chordata; Mammalia; Primates; Hominidae.